UACGUAGGGUGCAAGCGUUAAUCGGAAUUACUGGGCGUAAAGCGUGCGCAGGCGGUUUUGUAAGUCUGUCGUGAAAGCCCCGGGCUCAACCUGGGAAUUGCGAUGGAGACUGCAAGGCUUGAAUCUGGCAGAGGGGGGUAGAAUUCCACGUGUAGCAGUGAAAUGCGUAGAGAUGUGGAGGAACACCGAUGGCGAAGGCAGCCCCCUGGAUCAAGAUUGACGCUCAUGCACGAAAGCGUGGGGAGCAAACAGG
Molecule: ribosomal RNA, 253 nt
Filed under: uncultured bacterium
Lineage: Bacteria
Description: partial 16S ribosomal RNA
Rfam family: Bacterial small subunit ribosomal RNA
Source: RNAcentral